CCUACGGGAGGCAGCAGUAGGGAAUCUUCGGCAAUGGACGGAAGUCUGACGGAGCAACGCCGCGUGAGUGAAGAAGGAUUUCGGUUCGUAAAACUCUGUUGUUAGAGAAGAACAGCGCAUAGAGUAACUGUUAUGCGUGUGACGGUAUCUAACCAGAAAGCCACGGCUAACUACGUGCCAGCAGCCGCGGUAAUACGUAGGUGGCGAGCGUUGUCCGGAAUCAUUGGGCGUAAAGGGAGCGCAGGCGGACAUAUAAGUCCAUCUUAAAAGUGCGGGGCUCAACCCCGUGAGGGGAUGGAAACUGUAUGCCUUGAGUGCAGGAGAGGAAAGCGGAAUUCCCAGUGUAGCGGUGAAAUGCGUAGAUAUUGGGAGGAACACCAGUGGCGAAGGCGGCUUUCUGGACUGUAACUGACGCUGAGGCUCGAAAGCCAGGGGAGCGAACGGGAUUAGAUACCCCGGUAGUCCUGGCCGUAAACGAUGAAUGCUAGGUGUAGGAGGUAUCGACCCCUCCUGUGCCGGAGUUAACGCAAUAAGCAUUCCGCCUGGGGAGUACGGUCGCAAGACUGAAACUCAAAGGAAUUGACGG
RNAcentral lists this ribosomal RNA (586 nucleotides) under uncultured bacterium. Its description in RNAcentral is "bacterial SSU rRNA". It matches the Rfam family "Bacterial small subunit ribosomal RNA", at positions 338 to 916 of the family's 1533-position model. The record is from RNAcentral.